AGAAGAAGGGUUCUAGGCCACCUGAUCGUGGGUUUAUUUCCUAUCACCUAUCAGCUCAGCUAUAGAGGGUUAUCUUUUACCAGUGUGAAGUCACCACUCUAAUAUGACUGCAGUAAGCCUCUUUUUCAAUUUAUCAAGCUGCAGUCACCACUCAUACUAACUACAUCUGUGGGAGAGUGAGCCUUAACAAUAUGGUGAAGUUGCUCUUUCUCCGCAUAGGUGAUGGAGUUCGAACCCCAGAAACAACCUUUAGAUUUAUGGAGGGAAGACUAAGCUCCUCAAACUCCACCUUGGCGACAGCCUCAUGCACUGAGUUGUCCUACAUUUAUAUUAUCCUGAGUGUCAAAGAAUAUUCCACUAAUCUGAUGAUAUUUUGAAUGAGGAGAUUGCUCUCACUAUGGGGAUCAGCCAAUGAUUUGUUUGCAAACAUUAGCUGCCGGGAUUUGGAUUAACAAAAUGCUGUUUCUCCUUCUCCAGAGAGGCUGAGACACAGCAGGCUUUACUUGGUAUUUGCAUACAAGUACCUCACAUGGAUAUUCAAGAUUCUCGAUGAUGUUUAUUAUCGGGCCAACAAACCCAGCUCGACAAACAAAAUUUAAGAUCGUCUGAUCCCAGAAAUAUCUAGAAGAAGACACUGAAGACAGCUACCCUAGACUGCUUUUAAGAUGAGGCCAUAGUGUAGCUGUUGCUAGAAUUAUCAGCAUGGUCCUAAGAAUUUGUUGUGCCAUGAAGAAAACAGAGCAGUCAUACGGGUCCCCAGGGCCAUACCAGUGUUGUAAAGUUCAUCGUCUCGUGCCCCAUCUCACAUGUUGAUUCAUUUGCUGCAGCAUUGGAGUUGUUGGGGUGUUCUUGAGGACCCAAAACAUGACAGAGCCAUUUAGUCUUGACAUAUCUAUUACAUUUCUGAUGGGGCAUACAAAAACUUGGACAUAGCUCAACCACAGAUGCCAGUGUCUCCCAUCUCCUCAACAUCUCACGGAAGAGCUUCUGACCUAAUUUGUCGGCACAACGAAAGCAGAGCGGGAAGUAAUUGCUUUCAACUUAAAGAGAAAAGUUCUCUGUUAACUCUCCCGAAUUCAUGAACAUGAUUGUAAAGUUGCUUCUUUGCAGUCUGAUGACCGACGAAUACCAAACCUCGUAUAUUAACCUUCCUUGUAUCAUUAUUCAUGUAUUGAUCACUAAAAAUAUAUGCCAG
Molecule: long non-coding RNA, 1195 nt
Organism: Musa acuminata subsp. malaccensis (wild Malaysian banana)
Lineage: Eukaryota; Viridiplantae; Streptophyta; Magnoliopsida; Zingiberales; Musaceae
Source: RefSeq, a predicted model, not a curated record